UAAAAGCAACAGGAUCGCAUCCAGGUUACAGUAUUGAAAUUAGAAUCUACCACUAUUAUUACACAACAUCUCUUACCAAAUCAGAUCAUCUUCGAUAAGAAGAAUCACUGUCAACUAUUCCAGCUUGCACCAACCUCAUCAACUUUCCUGAACACUCCUCGACCACUGGAUCCUCAACUCUGUCUCCUCGCCUAGCAUUAGCCUUACUCACAAUCUCAAUCAAUCAUCUCAUCUUUAAGCCUUUCUGAAAUGGUUAGAAAGGAAUAGCAAGGGUGAGCAACAAUGCUCAGCAAGUAAUAAUAAACAAUGAUAGUUCUGAAAUGAUAUAACAGAAGUUCACGAGUUCAAGAUAUAAGAGGAUUCAACCUGAGUUCAUGAGUUCAUGGUAUUGUAUAGAAUGAUUUACAAUACCUUGCAGCAUUUAAACUGAGAAAUUCAAUCUUUCCAAAGAAUUAUUGAAUUGGACUAUCACAUUUUAAUUAAAACCAAGGUUAGGCAGCUGAUCAGUUCCGCACUAACCCCGAGCAGGCCCCGCCAUGCUCUAUCACUGGAUCCAAGGCACUCAUUGGCCUAACAUGACCACGAAUCUGGUCCACAGGUUUAUAUAAAAACAAUAAUCCAAUUCUCUAAUUCAAUUCAAGAAGCCAAUGUAAAUUAACAGAACAUCAUCAUAAAUAUCAUCAACAACAGAAUAAUUCCAAUUCAAACUUUGAUAAUAAUCUAUUCAUAAAUCAUGAUCCAUCAUUUCAUAAAUCACAGUUCAGGAAAUCCUCAACUAUUCAGUAUCCUCCAUUAUCGGCUAAGCAACUGAAUUUAGCCUGCUAAACCAGCAUGACAAUGGCGGGUUGAAUAAUCAAGAAGAUCCCAAUUCAUUCAAAGCUCUAACUAUCACUGAGCAACACAUGCUUCAAUGACAAUCUGAACUUCGAAUUAAUUUGUAAAACGGAAAUUCUUUAGAAACUUGAAGAUUAGAAAGAAUGGGUCAGAAUACUCGCACUUUCGAACAUUGAAAAGAAAGGUAUGAAUACUUGAAACAUAUACCAAAGGAAUGGAUCAGAAUAUUUGCAAUAUAUCCAAGAGAAAGGUUUAGGAUACUUGCAACACAUAUAGAAAAGAAUGGAUCAGAAUAUGCAAUAUAUCCAAAAGCAGGGUGUAGGAUACUUGCCUUAAAUCUGACUCCAAUCUCACAUCUCUAUCUCAUCUUUCAACUUUCACAAUCUAUGCAUCUCGUAAUCUCUAGACCAUCUCUAGUUAUACUUUAUUCGCCACAUCGCUUCGCUUACUCGAUUCAUCCCUUAUUCGCUUUGCAAUACCCUUCCGACUUUCUGACGUCUUCAAGCGUACACGUCUCGUCCAAAUCCUUUACGAGAAUAAAAUAAUACUAUAAUCACUAAUCAAUUUAUCGCAUAUGCAUAUCACGUAUAUCGAUACCCACUUAUAUAUCCCUUUACCUAUCAAAUAUCACUUAACACAUAAUCAUGCUUUGACUCUAUCAUAUAGUCAAGUCAUAUAUCACAAAUCAAUCAUAUAAUUCCUGUCGAAAUCCGACAUCGUCUCGUCUAGUUGUAGGACUAUCCAUAUGUUAUCCUAUUCUGUCCAACAACCAAUCAACCAAUUCCAACUCCUAUAAUCCAUACGUUCUUAUCCCAUAUUAAUCAAAUCAUGACACUAUGUCAUAUAAGUCAUUUAUCACAUAUGUACCAUAUUAGGAAUAACCACAUAUAUCACGUAAUCAUCAAUUCAUAACAACCAAGUCACGUAUAGUCACAUAUUGCAUAUUACAUAGCAUAUAAUCACAUUCUAGAUUCAAUCAUAUUAUCUCGUCAUAUUAGAAUAGACUUCAUGAGCUUUCAUCUCUCUUUCGUUUCACUCGAUUCCGACUUACGGAUCAAAAGAUAUGUUCAAAACAGUUUUCUCACUCUCCUAUCGGCACAUAACACAUCCAACCAAUAGCAGACAACACACAACACAUAAGGUUUCCCAUCCCAAUUGAUGUCAAAUCAACUCUUGGGUUAAAAAUGAUUUUUCGGGAAUUUUCUGGAAAUUUUUAAACAUUUUUCGGAAUUAAAAUCGAUAAAAGAAUCACUUUUCAAAUAAAUAAUCAAGUCCCAAAUACUUGAAAUUGGACUUGAAAUCAUUCCUAAACAAUUAUCGAGCCUUGAAAAUAAUUUGGAAAAAUAUUUUAAAGCUCGAAACUAUUUUUCGGAAUUUUUAAAUCAAAAAGGAUAAUUAAAUCCAAAUAAUUAAUCAAUUAAAAUCAAUUAAUAAUUAAUUAAAAUAAUUAAUCAAUUAAUAUUUAAAUUAAUUGACCAAUUAAAAUAAUUAAUUACUAAUUAAAAUUAAUUAAUAAACUAAUUUAGAUUUAUUUUUGAAUAAAGAAUCAAUUAAAAACUAUUUUUGAAAUUAAAAUACAUAAAUAAAAACAUUUUUGAAAAUCAAAAGGUUUAAAGUGUAAACUUUAAAACGUUUGAGGUCUGGAUUGGUAAAACAGAAACUAGGGUGCUACAACUUCACCACUUUCAAAAGUUUGGGGGCUAAACGGCACUUUCGCCGUCGCCGCCCCCAGACUCGCCGCCGGCGAGUCGCCGGUGUUGCCACCACGCCCAGAGCUCAGCGAAACACUCCAGAUUCAUCAACUAGUAUCCCAGGAACUCGUUUCUGAAAUCAAAACAUCCAAUAGAUCAAUAUAUAAGCCGGAAAAACUCCACGAAACUCGCCGUCGCCGGCGAGUUCGUUUUGCCCCGGCAAGUCGAUUCUAGGCUCCCACGUCCGAUUUAAAAACUGAAAUCGAUUCUUCUCAACUCAACAAACAGGCUGAUACCCUCCAAUUUUACCCAGAUCUCCCCGAUUACAAAGCCCCAAAUAUCAAUUUAGAACAUUCAUACACCUUCAAGAACAUUCAAAAACAUAACUUAAUAAUCAAACCCCUUUUUCUAGGUGUUAUGGAACUCAAAAAUCAACAUAUAAUAUACCAAAACGACGAGAAAAACACGUUCUACAACAUGGAAUCAUCAAAACAAUCAAACAACCACGUUUGCAAAAAUUCACUAUUUAAAUCAUAGUAAUUCGAAUUUUAAAACUUCGAUUACUCCCUACCUGUGAAUCUCAUGUUGUUUUUGAUGAUUGAUUUGGGUUCUACUCUUCGAUAUCUUCAAUUUGACUAUUUGCACGCUUGAUUCUGACUCCAAUAACACCUUCAAAUCCUCGUUUGAUUAUGAAGAACACGAAGAACGCAGCUCGGUUUCUCUCGGUAUUCG
RNAcentral lists this long non-coding RNA (3257 nucleotides) under Daucus carota (carrot). Its description in RNAcentral is "long non-coding RNA (DCAR_LNC004918)". Lineage: Eukaryota; Viridiplantae; Streptophyta; Magnoliopsida; Apiales; Apiaceae. The record is from RNAcentral.